This 335-nucleotide unclassified non-coding RNA is filed under the name soil metagenome. RNAcentral describes it as "partial contains 5.8S ribosomal RNA, internal transcribed spacer 2, and large subunit ribosomal RNA". The stretch from base 1 to 120 matches the Rfam family "5.8S ribosomal RNA", at positions 35 to 154 of the family's 154-position model. The record is from RNAcentral.
GAUGAAGAACGUAGUGAAAUGCGAUAAGUAAUGUGAAUUGCAGAAUUCAGUGAAUCAUCGAAUCUUUGAACGCACAUUGCGCCCCUUGGUAUUCCGGGGGGCAUGCCUGUUCGAGCGUCAUUUCAACCCUCAAGCUCUGCUUGGUAUUGGGCUCCGUCCUCAGGGACGCGCCUCAAAGACCUCGGCGGUGGCGUCUUGCCUCAAGCGUAGUAGAAAACACCUCGCUUUGGAGUGCUGGGCGUCGCCCGCCGGACGAACCUUUGAAUUUUUCUCAAGGUUGACCUCGGAUCAGGUAGGGAUACCCGCUGAACUUAAGCAUGUCAAUAAGCGGAGGA